UGGGGAAUCUUGCACAAUGGGGGAAACCCUGAUGCAGCGACGCCGCGUGAGCGAUGAAGGUUUUCGAAUCGUAAAGCUCUGUCCUAUGGGAAGAUAAUGACGGUACCAUAGGAGGAAGCCCCGGCUAACUACGUGCCAGCAGCCGCGGUAAUACGUAGGGGGCGAGCGUUGUCCGGAAUUACUGGGCGUAAAGCGAGCGCAGGCGGUCAAUUAAGUCUGAUGUGAAAGCCCCCGGCUCAACCGGGGAGGGUCAUUGGAAACUGGUUGACUUGAGUGCAGAAGAGGAGAGUGGAAUUCCAUGUGUAGCGGUGAAAUGCGUAGAUAUAUGGAGGAACACCAGUGGCGAAGGCGACUCUCUGGUCUGUAACUGACGCUGAGGCUCGAAAGCGUGGGUAGCAAACAGG
Molecule: ribosomal RNA, 404 nt
Filed under: Bacteroidota bacterium
Lineage: Bacteria; Pseudomonadati; Bacteroidota
Description: Bacteroidetes bacterium partial 16S ribosomal RNA
Rfam family: Bacterial small subunit ribosomal RNA
Source: RNAcentral